Molecule: non-coding RNA, 30 nt
Filed under: Homo sapiens (human)
Lineage: Eukaryota; Metazoa; Chordata; Mammalia; Primates; Hominidae
Source: RNAcentral
UAGAAUGUCUCAUCUUUUCUAGGUUGUCAA